RNAcentral lists this ribosomal RNA (515 nucleotides) under uncultured bacterium. Its description in RNAcentral is "partial 16S ribosomal RNA". It matches the Rfam family "Bacterial small subunit ribosomal RNA", at positions 28 to 523 of the family's 1533-position model. The record is from RNAcentral.
GAUGAACGCUGGCGGCGUGCCUAAUACAUGCAAGUCGAGCGAAUGGAUUAAGAGCUUGCUCUUAUGAAGUUAGCGGCGGACGGGUGAGUAACACGUGGGUAACCUGCCCAUAAGACUGGGAUAACUCCGGGAAACCGGGGCUAAUACCGGAUACCAUUUUGAACCGCAUGGUUCGAAAUUGAAAGGCGGCUUCGGCUGUCACUUAUGGAUGGACCCGCUUCGCAUUAGCUAGUUGGUGAGGUAACGGGGCACCAAGGCAACGAUGCGUAGCCGAGCUGAGAGGGGGAUCGGCCACACUGGGACUGAGACACGUGCCAGACGUCUGCGGGAGGCAGCAGUGGGGAAUCUUCCGCGAUGGACGAAAGUCUGACGGAGCAACGCCGCGUGAGUGAUGAAGGCUUUCGGGUCGUAAAACUCUGUUGUUAGGGAAGAACAAGUGCUAGUUGAAUAAGCUGGCACCUUGACGGUACCUAACCAGAAAGCCACGGCUAACUACGUGCCAGCCGCCGCGGUAA